RNAcentral lists this ribosomal RNA (363 nucleotides) under Tenuilapotamon latilum shuichengense. Its description in RNAcentral is "partial large subunit ribosomal RNA". Lineage: Eukaryota; Metazoa; Arthropoda; Malacostraca; Decapoda; Potamidae. The record is from RNAcentral.
GUUUGUUUGGAGUUAUAAAGAAUUUGACCUGCCCCCUGAUUAAUAAUUAAAGGGCCGCAGUAUUAUAACUGUGCAAAGGUAGCAUAAUCAUUAGGUUUUUAAUUGGAAUCUUGCAUGAAUGGUUGGACAAGAGAAAAACUCUCUUUAUAUUAAGUUUUGAAUUUAACUUUUAAGUGAAAAGGCUUAAAUAUUCUAAAGGGACGAUAAGACCCUAUAAAACUUUACAUUGUGAUUAAUUUUGGUUGAAUUUGUAAAAUAAGAAUUUUAUUUGGUUAUUUGUUAUGUUGGGGAGACAUAAGUAAAAUAGUAUUUUAACUGCUUAAUAAUUAUACAAUUAUUAGUGAGUAAUAGAAGAUCCUUUUU